AGUGAACGCUGGCGGUAGGCCUAACACAUGCAAGUCGAACGGCAGCACAGUAAGAGCUUGCUCUUACGGGUGGCGAGUGGCGGACGGGUGAGGAAUACAUCGGAAUCUACUUUUUCGCGGGGGAUAACGUAGGGAAACUUACGCUAAUACCGCAUACGACCUACGGGUGAAAGCAGGGGAUCUUCGGACCUUGCGCGAUUGAAUGAGCCGAUGUCGGAUUAGCUAGUUGGCGGGGUAAAGGCCCACCAAGGCGACGAUCCGUAGCUGGUCUGAGAGGAUGAUCAGCCACACUGGAACUGAGACACGGUCCAGACUCCUACGGGAGGCAGCAGUGGGGAAUAUUGGACAAUGGGCGCAAGCCUGAUCCAGCCAUACCGCGUGGGUGAAGAAGGCCUUCGGGUUGUAAAGCCCUUUUGUUGGGAAAGAAAAGCAGCAGGUUAAUACCCCGCUGUUCUGACGGUACCCAAAGAAUAAGCACCGGCUAACUUUGUG
Molecule: ribosomal RNA, 492 nt
Filed under: uncultured bacterium
Lineage: Bacteria
Description: partial 16S ribosomal RNA
Rfam family: Bacterial small subunit ribosomal RNA
Source: RNAcentral